RNAcentral lists this long non-coding RNA (1120 nucleotides) under Olea europaea subsp. europaea. The record is from RNAcentral. Lineage: Eukaryota; Viridiplantae; Streptophyta; Magnoliopsida; Lamiales; Oleaceae.
GGUAUUACCGUCAUGAUACACAAUCUCCCCCUCGCCACAAGGAGCGCCUCUUUCGAAACAUUAAGUUGGAUGCCCCUACAUUUGACGGUUGUCUAGAUCCUAGUGCAUUCAAUCAAUGGGUUAGAGAUAUGGAUCGCUUCUUUGCAUGGUAUGGGGUCCCGGAAGAUCGGAGGGUACAAUUUGCCAGUUUGAAGUUAACUGGCACUGCUCAACUCUUUUGGAAGAGUGUUGAGGACCUCCUUGAAAGGCGUCAUGCUCCCCCUGUUGGGAGUUGGGAUGAAAUGAAGCGUCGCCUUCAAGAAAAAUAUUUACCCCAAUCUUAUAGGGGUAACUUACUGGAUCAAUGGAACGCACUUACACAAGGCAAUCGACCUGUGACCGAAUAUGUUGCUCAGUUUGAUGAGUUUCGAAUGAAAUGUCAGGUUGUUGAGGAUGAAGUUAUGACUUUGAGUAGGUUUCGACAAGGCUUAAGAGAUGAACUUAGGCGCGAGCUUGUCCUUAGGGGUGUCACCACUCUCGACCACGCUUACUCCUUCGUUCGGGAUUAUGAAUUAGUGACUAGGACGCCGUAUAGAAAUCGUAGUGACUCCCGCACUACACCCUCAUCUGCAUCCACGCCAUCCCCUAAGUCUAUUCUAGGUCCUCCUCCCUCUCAUACUAUCCCUGCAUCGGAUAGCAAAGGUAGAGGUCCUGAGGUUUCAAGGACAUCCUCCCGUUUGCAAUGCUUCAACUGUAAGGGCUUUGGUCACAUUGCUUCUAAGUGCCCUAGCCGAGCCCUAGUUCUGGACGAACGUGAGGAUAUAGUCGACGAACCACUAGAGGAUCAGGUUUAUGAGCCUAAGUUAGAAGAGUUUGAAGACUUAGAGGACAGUGAGGAUACCUUCUUAGGUUGUAUUCAGGCUAGUCCCAUUAUUCCCCAUACACCCAGAGUCGGUGUCGUCCGUUGCACCCUCACCCAGCCUAAGGAUGCCGACGAUUGGCGCCGUCAUGCCAUCUUCCACACCUACAUCAAGAUUAAUAACAAGGGCUGUAAAGUUAUCGUGGAUAGUGGCAGCUGUAUUAAUGCGGUUUCGAAGGCUACUAUAUCCCGUCUAGGGUUGAAGCCAGUUCCUCACCCCCA